AGUCGACGAUGAACCUAGCUUGCUAGGUGAAUUAGUGGCGCACGGGUGAGUAAAGAAUAGAUUACAUGCCUCAUAGACCGGGACAACAGUUGGAAACGACUGCUAAUACUGGAUAUUCCCUACGGGGGAAAGCUUUUGCGCUAUGAGAUUGGUCUAUUUCCCAUCAGCUAGUUGGUAAGGUAAUGGCUUACCAAGCCAAUGACGCCUAGCUGGUCUGAGAGGAUGAUCAGCCACACUGGAACUGAGACACGGUCCAGACUCCUACGGGAGGCAGCAGUGGGGAAUAUUGCACAAUGGAGGAAACUCUGAUGCAGCAACGCCGCGUGGAGGAUGACACAUUUCGGUGCGUAAACUCCUUUUAUAUGGGAAGAUAAUGACGGUACCAUAUGAAUAAGCACCGGCUAACUCCGUGCCAGCAGCCGCGGUAAUACGGAGGGUGCAAGCGUUACUCGGAAUCACUGGGCGUAAAGCGCGCGCAGGCGGCUAUUUAAGUUGGAUGUGAAGGCCUAUGGCUCAACCAUAGAACUGCAUCCAAAACUAUUUAGCUAGAGUGUGGGAGAGGAAGAUGGAAUUAGUUGUGUAGGGGUAAAAUCCGUAGAGAUAACUAGGAAUACCAAAAGCGAAGGCAAUCUUCUGGAACACUACUGACGCUGAGGCGCGAAAGCGUGGGGAGCAAACGGGAUUAGAUACCCCGGUAGUCCACGCAGUANACGAUGAAUGUUAGUCGUCGGGGGCCUAGUGUCUUCGGUGAUGCAGCUAACGCAUUAAACAUUCCGCCUGGGGAGUACGGUCGCAAGAUUAAAACUCAAAGGAAUAGACGGGGACCCGCACAAG
This 834-nucleotide ribosomal RNA is filed under the name uncultured Campylobacterota bacterium. RNAcentral describes it as "bacterial SSU rRNA". It matches the Rfam family "Bacterial small subunit ribosomal RNA", at positions 60 to 929 of the family's 1533-position model. The record is from RNAcentral. Lineage: Bacteria; Pseudomonadati; Campylobacterota.